ACGAACGCUGGCGGCGUGCUUCACACAUGCAAGUCGAACGGAAAGGCCCUGCUUUUGUGGGGUGCUCGAGUGGCGAACGGGUGAGUAACACGUGAGUAACCUGCCCUUGACUUUGGGAUGACUUCAGGAAACUGGGGCUAAUACCGGAUAGGAGCUCCUGCUGCAUGGGGGGGGUUGGAAAGUUUCGGCGGUUGGGGAUGGACUCGCGGCUUAUCAGCUUGUUGGUGGGGUAGGGGCUUACCAAGGCUUUGACGGGUAGCCGGCCUGAGAGGGUGACCGGCCACAUUGGGACUGAGAUACGGCCCAGACUCCUACGGGAGGCAGCAGUGGGGAAUAUUGCACAAUGGGCGGAAGCCUGAUGCAGCAACGCCGCGUGCGGGAUGACGGCCUUCGGGUUGUAAACCGCUUUCGCCUGUGACGAAGCGUGAGUGACGGUAAUGGGUAAAGAAGCACCGGCUAACUACGUG
RNAcentral lists this ribosomal RNA (467 nucleotides) under uncultured bacterium. Its description in RNAcentral is "partial 16S ribosomal RNA". It matches the Rfam family "Bacterial small subunit ribosomal RNA", at positions 29 to 507 of the family's 1533-position model. The record is from RNAcentral.